Molecule: ribosomal RNA, 479 nt
Filed under: uncultured bacterium
Lineage: Bacteria
Description: bacterial SSU rRNA
Rfam family: Bacterial small subunit ribosomal RNA
Source: RNAcentral
AAUCAACGCUGGCGGCGUGCCUAACACAUGCAAGUCGAACGCGAAAGCCCGCAAGGGUAAGUAGAGUGGCGCACGGGUGAGUAACACGUGGACAACCUGCCUUCGAGUGGGGAAUAACCUUCCGAAAGGAGGGCUAAUACCGCAUAACACCUCGGGACACAAGUUCUGGGGUUGAAAAGAGCAAUUUGCUCGAAGAGGGGUCCGGGCCUGAUUAGCUAGUUGGUGAGGUAACGGCUCACCAAGGCUCGAUCAGUAGCCGUCCUGAGAGGGAGCACGGCCACACUGGAACUGAGACACGGUCCAGACUCCUACGGGAGGCAGCAGUGGGGAAUUUUUGGCAAUGGGCGAAAGCCUGACCAAGCAACGCCGCGUGGGUGAUGAAGUAUCUUGGUACGUAAAACCCUUUCGGCAGGGACGAACCUAAUGACGGUACCUGCGGAAGAAGCCCCGGCUAACUCCGUGCCAGCCGCCGCAGUAAC